This is a long non-coding RNA of Lucilia sericata (common green bottle fly), 747 nucleotides long. RefSeq lists it as uncharacterized. The record is from RefSeq and is a predicted model, not a curated record. NCBI's taxonomy places the organism in Eukaryota, Metazoa, Arthropoda, Insecta, Diptera, Calliphoridae. The transcript is spliced from 2 exons.
UAAAAAUUCUAAAUAAAAAUUGUUUUUAAAAAUAAAUUAAAAAAAAAAGUUUUUGUAAAAAUUCGUUUUAAACCAAAUUUUAGUUUGAAAAAUUACUUUUUGUUAAAAAAGAGAAUAUCUGAAGAAUAAUCAUUAUUGUGGAAUAUUAAAAUUUUUGAACUUAAUUCAACAAAAGCCUCAACGAUUCUUAUACUUUAAACGCAAACAACAAUAAUAGCAGAGAGAAAAAAAAAGCCAACAUAAUAAAAUCUCAUUAGUAAACAAAACAGGAAAUAAAAAUGUCCAUUAAACAAUAAAACGACAAAUACAGAUAAAAAGCAACAAACCAAAUAAAAAACAAAUAAAAAAAUAAUAAAGAAAAAAAAAAAAUCUAAAGAUGAAAAUGAAAAAUUAUUUCAAAUAACCACAAAAUAACAUACAGAGAGAAAAAAGCACAGAAAUGGACAGCAACAACAACACUAACAAAAGAAAAAAAGUAAAAAGUUUGAAGUAAAUAAUAACCAAUCAUUUUUUAUACACAGUUAAAGCUGAAAAUCCUACAAAUAAACACAAGAAACGUAGCAUAGUGAUUAAUAAUAUUUUAUGAUCUCUCUCUCUCUCUCUCUCUCUCUCUUAAAAAAAUAAAAUAAAACGUAACAGCAGUUAGAGAGCUGAACAAGAAAAAAAGGACACAUAACAACCAACACCAACAAUAAAUAAACGGAAACUAUAAUAUGUGAUUGUGGUCAUAAGCGGAUGUCCGUGUUU